ACGGAAGGCAGCAGUGGGGAAUAUUGCACAAUGGAGGAAACUCUGAUGCAGCAACGCCGCGUGAAGGAUGAAGGUCUUCGGAUUGUAAACUUCUGUCCUUAGGGAAGAUAAUGACGGUACCUUUGGAGGAAGCCCCGGCUAACUACGUGCCAGCAGCCGCGGUAAUACGUAGGGGGCAAGCGUUAUCCGGAAUUAUUGGGCGUAAAGGGUGCGUAGGUGGUUACCUAAGCAGGGGGUGAAAGGCAUUGGCUUAACCAAUGUUAGCCCCCUGAACUGGGCUACUUGAGUACAGGAGGGGAAAGUGGAAUUCCUAGUGUAGCGGUGAAAUGCGUAGAUAUUAGGAGGAACACCGGUGGCGAAGGCGGCCUACUGGGCUUUAACUGACGCUGAGGCACGAAAGCGUGGGUAGCAAACAGGAUUAGAUACCCUGGUA
RNAcentral lists this ribosomal RNA (433 nucleotides) under uncultured Anaerovorax sp. Its description in RNAcentral is "bacterial SSU rRNA". It matches the Rfam family "Bacterial small subunit ribosomal RNA", at positions 341 to 792 of the family's 1533-position model. The record is from RNAcentral. Lineage: Bacteria; Bacillati; Bacillota; Clostridia; Peptostreptococcales; Anaerovoracaceae.